UUCCUCUUGAAAACGAAAUGAGGGUAAGAUUAACAAUAUAAACAACGUAUCUGAUUAUGUAGUUUCUUAACUUAUAAUAUGUCUUUAUUUUUAGGAUUAUUAUUACAUUUCAAGAAAAGGAAAGAACAACGCAAGCGGAAAACUUUAUGCCAAGUAUAGAAACAAGAAGUCCAAAAGAAUAAAGCUUUUGAUUUCCGAGCCUAGCACAAGCAAAGCAGCAACUCACACAUCUCCUAAUUUUUGUAACAAAGAUGUUCCCGAAAUUGAUGAAUCAGUUGAAAAUUCAUUGAAAGCUUCCUUACUAAGAGAAUGUAAUGAUUGGGGAUCGAUCUGCGAAAAAUGGAAAAGAUCUUUUAACAUACGGCAAAGAGAUAUAAAAAAUUUAAGUAGCCAUACAUUUCUCCUUGAAUGGACGAAGUUGUCCGAUGCAAGAGCUUCAGAAUUGGUCAACAUUGAUUUCGAUAUUAUGUAUCCACAGAAAGGCAAUCUUCUACUUUCUAAAUGGGACCAAUUUAAGAAAAAAAUUUACAAUUAUUAUGGGAAAAAUAUUCAUAACGAACAUUGCAAACAACUCUUCGCAAAUGUUUUGACGGCAAGCAGCAUAGAUGCUCAAGAUUAUAUAUACGCAAUACUGUUGAAUUCAGUUUUACCAUCACCUGCUAGGUUUAAAUGUGGAAACGGUAAAUUACGAAAAAAAGUAACAAUAGCUGAUUCGCAGGAAAGUUUCGUACUGCGACUACCGACAAUUAACGAUUAUAAAAGGCAAAUUGAUACAGUCACUGAAAAGUAUUACAAUGCUGGAUUAACUAUACAGCCAUUUAUAAUUGUGGAGGGUUUGUCCGAUUUCAAUAUAAAAGGUUUUUAUGUUUUUUUUAACCACAAUUUGUUAAAAUUUCAAUCGUUCCUCGAAUGUUUAGAUACAUGUUUUAAAAUUUUUCAUGCACUUUCUUUAAAAUAUCCAAAUGCCUGCCAAAUUCCAUGGAUUUUUAUCCAAAAAUAUUUUUAUGAAAUUAAUACUGUAUAUGAUAUAAAAUCAGUUAAUUUGACUUCACUUAUUAAUUUCUGCAACAAUAAUUAAAGUACAAUUCAAAAUGUAUAUUUGCUUUCGUUGCCGUAAGCAUUUUGAUAAGGCAAAUCUUUUAAUAGCUCAUUUGAAAACAGACCAUUUAAU
Musca domestica (house fly) is the source of this 1171-nucleotide long non-coding RNA. RefSeq lists it as uncharacterized. The record is from RefSeq and is a predicted model, not a curated record. Lineage: Eukaryota; Metazoa; Arthropoda; Insecta; Diptera; Muscidae. The transcript is spliced from 3 exons.